UGCGGACCCAUGGCCCUACGCAUCCUGGGCCAGGUCUCUUGUGGUGCUUCACGCUCUCGACCUGUGAGUGGUGCCUGCUAGAGCUGCCCAGAUCCCUUUUCCCUACCCCUUCUGACCCUGGACCCAGAGUGGUGGUUGCGAUCUGCUACCGUGACGUCAGCCCUCAUUCGUUCGUUCCACAAACUCCACAGCUCUGGUCCAUUAGAGGAAGGAGGUCCCAGAAUAGCUGGGAAAUUACGAGAACAGCCUCACUGCACGAGUUGGUGAAUGCUGUGAUGGCGAUUGUAUGAUGGACGGUGAUGUUGAAACCAGACUGGGGAAUGACCGCCCCAUCCGGAGAGAGACGGGGUCUUGCUCUGUCAUCCAGGCUGGAUUGCAGUGUCAUUGAUCAUAGCUCAAGCGGUCUUCCUGCCUCAGCCUCCCAAAGUGCUGUGAUUACAGGUGUGAGCCACUGCACCUGGCCUCUUCAUAUCUUACAACGAAAAGCACCAAGGAUUCUCUUUUGUUGAAUUUGAGUUGGCAGAGGAUGUUGCAGCAGCUGUCAACAACAUGUUUGGUCAGAUGAAGACUGGGUGGAGAAGUUUGCUGGGAAGAGGAUAAAGAGGAAGGUGGUUGAGACUUCCCAAAGCAGAAAGCCAGGAGGUAAGAAUGACAGUUCAUGCUUCCAUAGGAGAGGCUGCUGCUUUCCACAUAGGGAAUUUCUGAGGUGAGUGGUGUUGGGUGAAUUUAAAGGAGAAGUUUUGGCUUUCUUAUCUAGGUGAGAAAUAUCUUAUGUGGGCUCAGGUAUUUGUGAUUGCUGCUGAGCAAGGCGGAUAUCUGAGGUGAGAAAGGAUGGUGAGUACUCUGCAUCACCAGCAUCCGCUAUCCUCCUAGUCUUUGGCAGCAGGCUCACUGUCUUCCUGUUCUUGCCCUAAUUCCAAGGGGGCAGAAUCAUGUAGAGGUCCCUUCCCCUCAGUCAGUACACAGGCACAAGGCUCUCCCUGCCCUCUCCACUUGCUCCUGCUUCUCCAUCAGGCCAUCCUGACUGUUGCUUCCCAGGAUAAUUUAAGGGCUCCUCCUCCUCAGUCCACCCUUUGAGCAGUGAUAUUUCCCUGAAUUCCUUCCUUAGCCCUCAGCACCUCUCUCCACAUUAUCCUUAUGCCAUGUCAGCCCCUUCUAUCUCCUAAGGUUAUAACGAUCUUUCAUUGUCCGAAUGAUAUUCUGAUCUCUAUCCCUAGCCCUGACCUUUCACAUAUUUCUGUUUGGGUGUCUUAUAGGCACCAUAAAUAAAGCAUAUCCCAAAUGGGUUUCAUCACCUUUCUGGUCUUUUUUUAUGCCCAAUCUUAGUUCACUUUGCCAUCUUCAACAUAGUCACACCCAAACCAGAUUCCUUGGUGCCAGCUUAGAUCCCUCACUGUAUUUCAUACCUAAUGCAUUACCAUACCCUGCUAAUUUUAUCUUUUAAAUCUUGCGUUUCUCCUCUCCAGUUUUCUUCUGCCACUGUUGUCUUGGCUGAGGCCUUAUCCUCUCUCCUGUGAAUAAUUGGAGUAGCUUCCUAACUGGUCUCCCUGCCCCAGGCCUGUUUUCCUCCUAUCCUUAGCAGCCAGAGGGAGCUUUCUAAAGGGCAGAUCUGACUAUCUCACUCUCCUUAAGCAUUCUAGGGACUCCCUUGAUUUAUAGGAUUGAGUCCAGCCUCCAUCAAAAGGGACAGAAGACCUCUCUAUGUUCUGAUUCCUGCUUAUGUCUCCAUAUUUUAUCUCCAUUUUAUAUUCUAGGAAACAAGAGUUUGUAGAUACCUGUAAAUCUCUGUUUUGAUGUAAGUCAUUCCUCUGCCUGCAGUGUCCUUUUCCAAUUUAUUUUAUGUGGCUAAUGCCUGCUCAUUUCUCAUAGCGCAGCCCAUUUACUGCCUUCUCCAGGAAGCUUUUCUGAAUCCUCCAGUGAGUAAGGCAAGUAUCACUCUGGGCUCCCAUGGCCUCUGGGUUCCUGUGGCACCCUCUGUCCUGGCAUUAUAUUGAAAUGUGAUUAUAUAGAAAUGUGACUGCAUUAUAUUGAAAUUACUUAUUUAACACAUGUCUAAAUAUUGCUUACUCUAUGCUAGGCACUGUUCUAAGUGCUCUACUAAUAUUUAACCCUAAUAACAAUUAUUUGAGAUAAGUACUAUUAUUAUCCCCAGUUCUAGGUGAGGAAGCUGGGGCACAGUGAAGUCAGUACUUUGUUCAGCGUUACACAGUUCAUAAUGGUGGAGCUGAGGUCUGAACUAAGGCUGUAGAGCUCCAGGAUCUGUGUGCCUUUUACACUGUGGGUAUCCCUCCCCCGCUGGCUAGCCAGUUCCUCAAGGGCAGGGGCCAUAUCUAUCUAACUGCCUAUCUAUUUAUUUUUUAUUUUUUGAUUCAGGGUCUUGCUCUGUUGCCCAGGCUGGAGUGCAGUGGUACCAUCACAGCUCACUGCAGCUUUGACCUUCCAGGCUCAAGUGGUCUUCCUGCCCCAGCCUCCCAAGUAGCUGGAACUACAGGCACACCACCAUAACCAGCUACAUUUUUCAUUUUUUAUUUUGUAGAGACAGGGUCGCACUGUGUUGCCCAGAUUGAUCUCAGAACUCCUGGGCUCAAGCAGUCCUCUUGCCUUGGCCUCCCAAAGUGCUGGGAUUACAGUGUGAGACACCCCACCCAACUAUAUCUAUUUAAGAAUCCCAGUACUUGGCCUGAUAGCUCAAUACCUGUAUGUUGAACUAUUAAUCCAAAAAAACAAUAGAGUUGGCCGGACGUGGUGGCUCACGCCUGUAAUCCCAGCAUUUUGUCAGGCCAAGGCGGGCAGAUCACGAGGUCAGGAGUUCGAGACCAGCCUGACCAACGUGGUGAAACCUGUCUCUACUAAAAAUACAAAAGUUAGCCGGGCAUGGUGGCACGUGCCUUUAAUCCCAGCUACUCAGGAGGCUGAGGCAGGAGAAUUGCUUGAACCCAGGAGGCGGAGGUUGCAGUGAGUUGAGAUCGCGCUACUGCACUCCAGUCUGGGCGACAGAGCAAGACUCCCUUUCCAAAAACAAGCAAAUGAAAAAAUAGAGUUUUCUCUAUCACACAAAUGGGAAGGUUUGUAUUGAAUGUUAUAUUUAUCCUCUAUCCAGUCUUGUCUUGGAGCACAAAGCAAAAAGGCCCAGCAUCCUCCACUAUCUUCUGAAAACUUGCCCUCAGGCCUGAGCAAGAGGGCUGCCCGGUUGCUUCCAUGUAGCCAGCCAGCAUAUGUGCAGGGCCAAGUCUAGAGGGAGGAGGGGGUGGCACAUGGAUGGUUUCGUUUAAUUGGAAGACAGUGGGUAGAUUGGAGCUGGCAUUUGAAGAUGUUGAGAGUUGUGGAUCAUGGGCAAGAAAAGCGCUGUUCUGGGACUGCGGGGCAGGAGAAGGAAACUGAUGCUUCUGAGGGUGAGUCUGAUGAGAUAACAUGCCUGUGUGUGGGCCUCAGGUUAGACAGUGCUGAGGUCUCCCGUCACUGGGCAUCCAGCUGGGUGCUACGGCCGUGGCUCCUGCCUUCUGCAGCCCUGUCAGGGCCCAAGGCCUUCCUCAUCAGCACUUGCUCCAGCCUACUCACUGGAGUUGUGUUCUGGGUGGGUGUGUAGAAUACUCGCACUCCUACUUGGGGCAUCAGGGAGCUCUCUAGCAAUUUCUUCUGCACCUAGGGAGAGCCCACUGCUAAAAAAGGCCUAGUCAAAUCCUCAGGUGUACAUGGACAUCAAGAUUGGGAACAAGCCGGCUGGCUGCAUCCAAACCCUCCUGCGUUCCGACGUCGUGCCCAUGACCACAGAGAAUUUUCUCUACAUGUGCACCCAUUUAAAGGACUCGGCUUCAAGGGAAGCAGCUUCCACCGCAUUAUCCCCCAGUUCAUUUGCCAGGGCAGUGAUUUCACAAACCACGGUGGCACCAGGGGUCUGCGCAGGCAUGGCACUAAGUGUCCCAUGGCACAUUUGGCCCUCAUGGAGGCCUCAAAAGGGCAGGACCAGCACCCUCUUCUACGGAGGAAGGAACGGGCACAGCAGAAACAAGGAGAGUCAGCAAUUACCAGCCAGCCAAGGUCCUGGAAGCUGACGUAGAGCUCGUGCCGACGGCAGACCUGCCGGCCGUGGGAGCCGCGGACGUCAUCUGCAGGGACAGAAGGGGCAAGGUCUUUUCUGGGGUUCCUGCUGUGUGCAGCUACUAUGGGGUACCAGGGUGGGGGAUGCCCUGAUGAGCACAUUUGUCAAAUAAAUGAAUGACAGGAAACCAUUUGGUCUCAUA
RNAcentral lists this long non-coding RNA (4241 nucleotides) under Homo sapiens (human). RNAcentral's name for it is "PREDICTED lncRNA (TCONS_00015823)". Lineage: Eukaryota; Metazoa; Chordata; Mammalia; Primates; Hominidae. The record is from RNAcentral.